Molecule: ribosomal RNA, 497 nt
Filed under: uncultured bacterium
Lineage: Bacteria
Description: partial 16S ribosomal RNA
Rfam family: Bacterial small subunit ribosomal RNA
Source: RNAcentral
GAUGAACGCUGGCGGCGUGCCUAAUACAUGCAAGUCGAGCGAACAGACGAGGAGCUUGCUCCUCUGACGUUAGCGGCGGACGGGUGAGUAACACGUGGAUAACCUACCUAUAAGACUGAGAUAACUUCAGGAAACCGUAGCUAAUACCGUAUAAUAUAUUGAACCGCCUGUUUCAAUAGUGAAAGACGGUUUUGCUGUCACUUAUAGAUGGAUCCGCGCCCCAUUAGCUAGUUGGUAAGGUAACGGCCUACCAAGGCAACGAUGCGUAGCCGACCUGAGAGGGUGAUCGGCCACACUGGAACUGAGACACGGCCCAGACUCCUACGGGAGGCAGCAGUAGGGAAUCUUCCGCAAUGGGCGAAAGCCUGACGGAGCAACGCCGCGUGAGUGAUGAAGGUCUUCGGAUCGUAAAACUCUUUUAUUAGGGAAGAACAAAUGUGUAAGUAACGAUGCACGUCUUGACGGUACCUAAUCAGAAAGCCACGGCUAACUACGUG